This 433-nucleotide ribosomal RNA is filed under the name uncultured bacterium. Its description in RNAcentral is "partial 16S ribosomal RNA". It matches the Rfam family "Bacterial small subunit ribosomal RNA", at positions 29 to 507 of the family's 1533-position model. The record is from RNAcentral.
AACGAACGCUGGCGGCAUGCCUAACACAUGCAAGUCGAACGAGACCUUCGGGUCUAGUGGCGCCCGGGUGCGUAACGCGUGGGAACCUGCCCUUAGGUUCGGAAUAACUCCCCGAAAGGGGUGCUAAUACCGGAUAAUGUCUUCGGACCAAAGAUUUAUCGCCUUUGGAUGGGCCCGCGUUGGAUUAGCUAGUUGGUAGGGUAAAAGCCUACCAAGGCGACGAUCCAUAGCUGGUCUGAGAGGAUGAUCAGCCACACUGAGACUGAGACACGGCCCAGACUCCUACGCGAGGCAGCAGUGGGUAAUAUUGGACAAUGGGCGAAAGCCUGAUCCAGCAAUGCCGCGUGAGUGAUGAAGGCCUUAGGGUUGUAAAGCUCUUUUACCCGGGAUGAUAAUGACAGUACCGGGAGAAUAAGCUCCGGCUAACUCCGUG